Molecule: ribosomal RNA, 585 nt
Filed under: uncultured Paracoccaceae bacterium
Lineage: Bacteria; Pseudomonadati; Pseudomonadota; Alphaproteobacteria; Rhodobacterales; Paracoccaceae
Description: bacterial SSU rRNA
Rfam family: Bacterial small subunit ribosomal RNA
Source: RNAcentral
ACCCCCUUUCCUGCGGUCGAAGAUUCCUACGGGAGGCAGCAGUGGGGAAUCUUAGACAAUGGGGGAAACCCUGAUCUAGCCAUGCCGCGUGAGUGAUGAAGGCCUUAGGGUCGUAAAGCUCUUUCGCCAGGGAUGAUAAUGACAGUACCUGGUAAAGAAACCCCGGCUAACUCCGUGCCAGCAGCCGCGGUAAUACGGAGGGGGUUAGCGUUGUUCGGAAUUACUGGGCGUAAAGCGCGCGUAGGCGGAUUAGUCAGUCAGAGGUGAAAUCCCAGGGCUCAACCCUGGAACUGCCUUUGAUACUGCUAGUCUAGAGUUCGAGAGAGGUGAGUGGAAUUCCGAGUGUAGAGGUGAAAUUCGUAGAUAUUCGGAGGAACACCAGUGGCGAAGGCGGCUCACUGGCUCGAUACUGACGCUGAGGUGCGAAAGUGUGGGGAGCAAACAGGAUUAGAUACCCUGGUAGUCCACACCGUAAACGAUGAAUGCCAGUCGUCGGCAAGUAUACUUGUCGGUGACACACCUAACGGAUUAAGCAUUCCGCCUGGGGAGUACGGUCGCAAGAUUAAAACUCAAAUGAAUUGACGG